Molecule: ribosomal RNA, 253 nt
Filed under: uncultured bacterium
Lineage: Bacteria
Description: partial 16S ribosomal RNA
Rfam family: Archaeal small subunit ribosomal RNA
Source: RNAcentral
UACCAGCACCCCGAGUGGUCGGGAAGUUUAUUGGGCCUAAAGCAUCCGUAGCCGGUUCUACAAGUCUUCCGUUAAAUCCAACUGCUUAACAGGUGGGCUGCGGAAGAUACUAUAGAGCUAGGAGGCGGGAGAGGCAAGCGGUACUCGAUGGGUAGGGGUAAAAUCCGUUGAUCCAUUGAAGACCACCAGUGGCGAAGGCGGUUGCCUGGGGUUUUGCUGACGCUGAUGCGCGAAAGCGUGGGGAGCGAUCCGG